UUAAGCGACUAAGCGUACACGGUGGAUGCCCUGGCAGUCAGAGGCGAUGAAGGACGUGCUAAUCUGCGAUAAGCGUCGGUAAGGUGAUAUGAACCGUUAUAACCGGCGAUUUCCGAAUGGGGAAACCCAGUGUGUUUCGACACACUAUCAUUAACUGAAUCCAUAGGUUAAUGAGGCGAACCGGGGGAACUGAAACAUCUAAGUACCCCGAGGAAAAGAAAUCAACCGAGAUUCCCCCAGUAGCGGCGAGCGAACGGGGAGGAGCCCAGAGCCUGAAUCAGUGUGUGUGUUAGUGGAAGCGUCUGGAAAGGCGCGCGAUACAGGGUGACAGCCCCGUACACAAAAAUGCACAUGCUGUGAGCUCGAUGAGUAGGGCGGGACACGUGGUAUCCUGUCUGAAUAUGGGGGGACCAUCCUCCAAGGCUAAAUACUCCUGACUGACCGAUAGUGAACCAGUACCGUGAGGGAAAGGCGAAAAGAACCCCGGCGAGGGGAGUGAAAAAGAACCUGAAACCGUGUACGUACAAGCAGUGGGAGCACGCUUAGGCGUGUGACUGCGUACCUUUUGUAUAAUGGGUCAGCGACUUAUAUUCUGUAGCAAGGUUAACCGAAUAGGGGAGCCGAAGGGAAACCGAGUCUUAACUGGGCGUUAAGUUGCAGGGUAUAGACCCGAAACCCGGUGAUCUAGCCAUGGGCAGGUUGAAGGUUGGGUAACACUAACUGGAGGACCGAACCGACUAAUGUUGAAAAAUUAGCGGAUGACUUGUGGCUGGGGGUGAAAGGCCAAUCAAACCGGGAGAUAGCUGGUUCUCCCCGAAAGCUAUUUAGGUAGCGCCUCGUGAAUUCAUCUCCGGGGGUAGAGCACUGUUUCGGCAAGGGGGUCAUCCCGACUUACCAACCCGAUGCAAACUGCGAAUACCGGAGAAUGUUAUCACGGGAGACACACGGCGGGUGCUAACGUCCGUCGUGAAGAGGGAAACAACCCAGACCGCCAGCUAAGGUCCCAAAGUCAUGGUUAAGUGGGAAACGAUGUGGGAAGGCCCAGACAGCCAGGAUGUUGGCUUAGAAGCAGCCAUCAUUUAAAGAAAGCGUAAUAGCUCACUGGUCGAGUCGGCCUGCGCGGAAGAUGUAACGGGGCUAAACCAUGCACCGAAGCUGCGGCAGCGACGCUUAUGCGUUGUUGGGUAGGGGAGCGUUCUGUAAGCCUGCGAAGGUGUGCUGUGAGGCAUGCUGGAGGUAUCAGAAGUGCGAAUGCUGACAUAAGUAACGAUAAAGCGGGUGAAAAGCCCGCUCGCCGGAAGACCAAGGGUUCCUGUCCAACGUUAAUCGGGGCAGGGUGAGUCGACCCCUAAGGCGAGGCCGAAAGGCGUAGUCGAUGGGAAACAGGUUAAUAUUCCUGUACUUGGUGUUACUGCGAAGGGGGGACGGAGAAGGCUAUGUUGGCCGGGCGACGGUUGUCCCGGUUUAAGCGUGUAGGCUGGUUUUCCAGGCAAAUCCGGAAAAUCAAGGCUGAGGCGUGAUGACGAGGCACUACGGUGCUGAAGCAACAAAUGCCCUGCUUCCAGGAAAAGCCUCUAAGCAUCAGGUAACAUCAAAUCGUACCCCAAACCGACACAGGUGGUCAGGUAGAGAAUACCAAGGCGCUUGAGAGAACUCGGGUGAAGGAACUAGGCAAAAUGGUGCCGUAACUUCGGGAGAAGGCACGCUGAUAUGUAGGUGAAGUCCCUCGCGGAUGGAGCUGAAAUCAGUCGAAGAUACCAGCUGGCUGCAACUGUUUAUUAAAAACACAGCACUGUGCAAACACGAAAGUGGACGUAUACGGUGUGACGCCUGCCCGGUGCCGGAAGGUUAAUUGAUGGGGUCAGCGCAAGCGAAGCUCUUGAUCGAAGCCCCGGUAAACGGCGGCCGUAACUAUAACGGUCCUAAGGUAGCGAAAUUCCUUGUCGGGUAAGUUCCGACCUGCACGAAUGGCGUAAUGAUGGCCAGGCUGUCUCCACCCGAGACUCAGUGAAAUUGAACUCGCUGUGAAGAUGCAGUGUACCCGCGGCAAGACGGAAAGACCCCGUGAACCUUUACUAUAGCUUGACACUGAACAUUGAGCCUUGAUGUGUAGGAUAGGUGGGAGGCUUUGAAGUGUGGACGCCAGUCUGCAUGGAGCCGACCUUGAAAUACCACCCUUUAAUGUUUGAUGUUCUAACGUUGACCCGUGAUCCGGGUUGCGGACAGUGUCUGGUGGGUAGUUUGACUGGGGCGGUCUCCUCCUAAAGAGUAACGGAGGAGCACGAAGGUUGGCUAAUCCUGGUCGGACAUCAGGAGGUUAGUGCAAUGGCAUAAGCCAGCUUGACUGCGAGCGUGACGGCGCGAGCAGGUGCGAAAGCAGGUCAUAGUGAUCCGGUGGUUCUGAAUGGAAGGGCCAUCGCUCAACGGAUAAAAGGUACUCCGGGGAUAACAGGCUGAUACCGCCCAAGAGUUCAUAUCGACGGCGGUGUUUGGCACCUCGAUGUCGGCUCAUCACAUCCUGGGGCUGAAGUAGGUCCCAAGGGUAUGGCUGUUCGCCAUUUAAAGUGGUACGCGAGCUGGGUUUAGAACGUCGUGAGACAGUUCGGUCCCUAUCUGUCGUGGGCGCUGGAGAACUGAGGGGGGCUGCUCCUAGUACGAGAGGACCGGAGUGGACGCAUCACUGGUGUUCGGGUUGUCAUGCCAAUGGCACUGCCCGGUAGCUAAAUGCGGAAGAGAUAAGUGCUGAAAGCAUCUAAGCACGAAACUUGCCCCGAGAUGAGUUCUCCCUGACUCCUUGAGAGUCCUGAAGGAACGUUGAAGACGACGACGUUGAUAGGCCGGGUGUGUAAGCGCAGCGAUGCGUUGAGCUAACCGGUACUAAUGAACCGUGAGGCUUAACCU
Molecule: ribosomal RNA, 2901 nt
Filed under: Escherichia coli
Lineage: Bacteria; Pseudomonadati; Pseudomonadota; Gammaproteobacteria; Enterobacterales; Enterobacteriaceae
Description: 23S ribosomal RNA
Rfam family: Bacterial large subunit ribosomal RNA
Source: RNAcentral